AUUGAACGCUGGCGGCAGGCCUAACACAUGCAAGUCGAGCGAGCGGCGGACGGGUGAGUAAUGUCUGGGAAACUGCCUGCUGGAGGGGGAUAACUACUGGAAACGGUAGCUCAUACCCCAUACCAUCAGAUGUGCCCAGAUGGGAUUAGCUAGUAUGUGGGGUAACGGCUCACCUAGGCGACGAUCCCUAGCUGGUCUGAGAGGAUGACCAGCAACACUGGAACUGAGACACGGUCCAGACUCCUACGGGAGGCAGCAGUGGGGAAUAUUGCACAAUGGGCGCAAGCCUGAUGCAGCCAUGCCGCGUGUGUGAAGAAGGCCUUCGGGUUGUAAAGUACUUUCAGCAGGGAGGCGUUACCCGCAGAAGAAGCACCGGCUAACUCCGUGCCAGCAGCCGCGGUAAUAC
RNAcentral lists this ribosomal RNA (406 nucleotides) under uncultured bacterium. RNAcentral describes it as "partial 16S ribosomal RNA". It matches the Rfam family "Bacterial small subunit ribosomal RNA", at positions 30 to 526 of the family's 1533-position model. The record is from RNAcentral.